AAAGGAGGAUUUAGUAGUAAAUUAA
RNAcentral lists this non-coding RNA (25 nucleotides) under Cricetulus griseus (Chinese hamster). The record is from RNAcentral. Lineage: Eukaryota; Metazoa; Chordata; Mammalia; Rodentia; Cricetidae.